RNAcentral lists this ribosomal RNA (1682 nucleotides) under Distichodus decemmaculatus. RNAcentral describes it as "16S ribosomal RNA". It matches the Rfam family "Bacterial large subunit ribosomal RNA". The record is from RNAcentral. Lineage: Eukaryota; Metazoa; Chordata; Actinopteri; Characiformes; Distichodontidae.
ACUAAAUAGCUAGCUUAAACACCAAAACUAAAUCAUCAACAUUAACAUGUUUUACUAAACAUUAAUUUAACAAAACUAAACCAUUCUCCUGCCUUAGUACGGGCGACGAAAAAGGCACUUAUAAGCAAUAGAAAAAGUACCGCAAGGGAAAGCUGAAAGAGAAAAUGAAACAACCCAUUUAAGUAAAACAAAGCAGAGAUUAAACCUCGUACCUUUUGCAUCAUGAUUUAGCUAGUCUAAUUGAGCAAAGAGAACUUUAGUUCAAAUCCCCGAAACCAAGUGAGCUACCUCGAGACAGCCUUUAAUUAGGGCCAACCCGUCUCUGUGGCAAAAGAGUGGGAAGAGCUCCAGGUAGCGGUGACAGACCUACCGAACUUGGUAAUAGCUGGUUGCCUAGAAAAUGGAUAGAAGUUCAGCCUCAUACCCCUCAAUUCAAUACAAAUUUAUUACACAACGAACUCGAGAAAUAUAUGAGAGUUAGUCAAAGGAGGUACAGCUCCUUUGAACAAGGAUACAACCUUUCAAGGAGGUUAAGGAUUAUACCCUACAAGAUUCCUGCUCAAGUGGGCCUAAAAGCAGCCAUCUAGACAGAAAGCGUUAUAGCUCAGGCAGACUUUAAUCCAUUAUUCUUAUAAUCAAUCCAAAACCCCUAAACCUACUAGGCCUUUCCAUGCUAACAUGGAAGUGAUCCUGCUAAAAUUAGUAACAAGAAAGCAACCCUUUCUCCUAGUCCCAGUGUACGUUAGAUCGGACCCCCCACUAACAAAUAACGAACCCAACCAAAGAGGGCAAUGUAACCCACAAAAAAAUACAAGAAAAACCUACACACACCCAAUCGUUAACCCUACACAGGAAGACUAAAAAGGAAAGACUCAAAAAAGAGGAAGGAACUCGGCAAACACAAGCCUCGCCUGUUUACCAAAAACAUCGCCUCCCGCAAAAUCCAACGUAUAGGAGGUCCUGCCUGCCCAGUGAACUAGUUUAAACGGCCGCGGUAUCUUGACCGUGCAAAGGUAGCGCAAUCACUUGUCUUUUAAAUGAAGACCUGUAUGAAUGGUGGAACGAGGGCUUAACUGUCUCCCCCCUUAGGUCAGUGAAAUUGAUCUAUCCGUGCAGAAGCGGGUAUAAUUAUACAAGACGAGAAGACCCUUUGGAGCUUAAGACACCAAGACCAAUUAUGUCAAAAAUCUGUUACAAGACAGAUUAAACCUAAUAACACCUGGUCCCAGUCUUCGGUUGGGGCGACCGCGGGGGAAAAUAAAGCCCCCAUGUGGAAUGGGGAAACACCCCAAAACCAAGAGAGACAUCUCCAAGACACAGAACAUCUGACCAUUAUAGAUCCGGCUACAUAGCCGAUCAACGGACCAAGUUACCCUAGGGAUAACAGCGCAAUCCCCUCCCAGAGUCCCUAUCGACAAGGGGGUUUACGACCUCGAUGUUGGAUCAGGACAUCCUAAUGGUGCAGCCGCUAUUAAGGGUUCGUUUGUUCAACGAUUAAAGUCCUACGUGAUCUGAGUUCAGACCGGAGCAAUCCAGGUCAGUUUCUAUCUGUAAUGCUAUUUUUUCUAGUACGAAAGGACCGAAAAAAUGGGGCCCAUAUUACAAACACGCCCCACCCUUAAUUGAUGAAACCAACUAAAUCAAAUAAAAGGAGAGCAUACCUCAACUCAAGAUAAGAGUUU